Non-coding RNA from Podarcis lilfordi (Lilford's wall lizard), 75 nucleotides. The record is from the annotation of a GenBank genome assembly. Lineage: Eukaryota; Metazoa; Chordata; Lepidosauria; Squamata; Lacertidae.
UCCUGGGAUAUCUCAGUUGGUAAGAGCAUGAGACUCUUGAUCUUGAAGUCAUGGGUUCGAGCCCCACACUGGGCA